AUUGAACGCUGGCGGCAUGCUUUACACAUGCAAGUCGAACGGUAACAGGGAGCUUGCUCCGCUGACGAGUGGCGAACGGGUGAGUAAUGCAUCGGAACGUACCCAGUCGUGGGGGAUAACGUAGCGAAAGUUACGCUAAUACCGCAUACGUCCUGAGGGAGAAAGCGGGGGACCGUAAGACCUCGCGCGAUUGGAGCGGCCGAUGUCGGAUUAGCUAGUUGGUAGGGUAAAGGCCUACCAAGGCGACGAUCCGUAGCGGGUCUGAGAGGAUGAUCCGCCACACUGGGACUGAGACACGGCCCAGACUCCUACGGGAGGCAGCAGUGGGGAAUUUUGGACAAUGGGCGAAAGCCUGAUCCAGCCAUGCCGCGUGAGUGAAGAAGGCCUCGGUUGUAAGUACGUCUUUCUAGUCAGAACGAAACGGUAGAGGGUUAAGUACCGUUU
RNAcentral lists this ribosomal RNA (444 nucleotides) under uncultured bacterium. RNAcentral's name for it is "bacterial SSU rRNA". It matches the Rfam family "Bacterial small subunit ribosomal RNA", at positions 30 to 471 of the family's 1533-position model. The record is from RNAcentral.